UUCCGAGGUUAAUGCACAACGCGGAAGUAAUUGAAGAUCGUUAGCAAUCCUGAUCGGUUUCUGGCUCAUUCGAGAAAAUGGUCGUAAAUCAACAAGCUCCUAGUCCUGCGCAAUAAGAUAUGCUUAAUGAGUUAAUAAAGGAAUCGAAGGAAUUUAUCGCCGCGUAUGACACCAUUGUGUUGCAUAAAGAGCUGUACCGAAAUGUUUUAAUAUUCUCAUUGAGCUGUUUGCGGGAAAAACUCGUGGAACUAAUUCAAAAAUUUAGCAAGUUACCAAAAGAAGACAACAAAACUCCAGAAAUCGAUUGUUGUGGAGUUUCGUACAACAAAUAUGACUGCUUUAAAGAACACUAUGAACAAGUUCACAAUAGAAAGGCACUUCAAUCAGCUUCGUUGUGCGAGCUGAAAAUGUCGUUGACAAAAAUAUCCUUCUUUGAGCGUAGGAUCCGGGGGUAUCUUAAGGGCGGCGAAAUAUCAAGCUGUGAAAUGAUAAUGAAUUUGAAGAAAAUUCUGAAGAAAAUCGACAUGUCACUAGUGUUUUAACCCUUUCUUUCCUGUUACUACAUAAACGAGUUUAUUAUAAGGCAUUCAAUGAGCAUUGAUUAAAUUAGGCUAAAUUAAACAAGAUAAUAAAAUAUUGUUCUUCAAAAGUUCCACUCUUGCAACAAUUAA
Aedes aegypti (yellow fever mosquito) is the source of this 671-nucleotide long non-coding RNA. RefSeq lists it as uncharacterized. NCBI's taxonomy places the organism in Eukaryota, Metazoa, Arthropoda, Insecta, Diptera, Culicidae. The transcript is spliced from 4 exons. The record is from RefSeq and is a predicted model, not a curated record.